RNAcentral lists this ribosomal RNA (253 nucleotides) under uncultured bacterium. RNAcentral's name for it is "partial 16S ribosomal RNA". It matches the Rfam family "Bacterial small subunit ribosomal RNA", at positions 524 to 776 of the family's 1533-position model. The record is from RNAcentral.
UACGAAGGGGGCUAGCGUUGUUCGGAAUUACUGGGCGUAAAGCGCGCGCAGGCGGUCUUCCAAGUCAGUGGUGAAAGCCCGGAGCUCAACUCCGGAACUGCCAUUGAAACUGUGAGACUUGAGGAUGAGAGAGGUGAGUGGAAUUCCCAGUGUAGAGGUGAAAUGCGCAGAUAUCAGGAAGAACACCAAUGGCGAAGGCAGCUCUCUGGGACGGUACUGACGCUGAGACGCGAAAGCGUGGGGAGCGAACAGG